ACUUAAGCAUAUCAAUAAGCGGAGGAAAAGAAACUAACAAGGAUUCCCCUAGUAACGGCGAGUGAAGCGGGAAGAGCUCAAAUUUGAAAUCUGGUAGCCUUCGGCUGCCCGAGUUGUAAUCUAGAGAAGUGUUUUCCGUGCCGGCCCAUGUACAAGUCCCUUGGAACAGGGCGUCAUAGAGGGUGAGAAUCCCGUCCUUGACAUGGACCCCCGGUGCUUUGUGAUACACUUUCAACGAGUCGAGUUGUUUGGGAAUGCAGCUCAAAAUGGGUGGUGAAUUCCAUCUAAAGCUAAAUAUUGGCGAGAGACCGAUAGCGAACAAGUACCGUGAGGGAAAGAUGAAAAGCACUUUGGAAAGAGAGUUAAACAGUACGUGAAAUUGUUGAAAGGGAAACGAUUGAAGUCAGUCAUGCUCUUUGGAUUCAGCCGUUCUGCGGUGUAUUUCCAUUGAGUGGGGUCAACAUCAGUUUUGAUCGCUGGAUAAAGGCACUAGGAAGGUAGCACUCUCGGGUGAACUUAUAGCCUAGCGUCAUAUACAGUGAUUGGGACUGAGGAACGCAGCAUGCCUUUAUGGCCGGGAUUCGUCCACGUACAUGCUUAGGAGUGACAG
Molecule: ribosomal RNA, 610 nt
Filed under: Naganishia uzbekistanensis
Lineage: Eukaryota; Fungi; Basidiomycota; Tremellomycetes; Filobasidiales; Filobasidiaceae
Description: LSU rRNA
Rfam family: Eukaryotic large subunit ribosomal RNA
Source: RNAcentral